UCCCUGGAGGUCCAGUAGCUAAGACUCCGUGCUCCCAAUCCAGGGGGCCCAGGUUCAAUCCCUGGUCAGGGAA
Non-coding RNA from Bos taurus (domestic cattle), 73 nucleotides. The record is from Rfam. NCBI's taxonomy places the organism in Eukaryota, Metazoa, Chordata, Mammalia, Artiodactyla, Bovidae.